This 839-nucleotide non-coding RNA is filed under the name Trichomonas vaginalis G3. Its description in RNAcentral is "Eukaryotic small subunit ribosomal RNA". It matches the Rfam family "Eukaryotic small subunit ribosomal RNA", at positions 931 to 1831 of the family's 1831-position model. The record is from Rfam by way of RNAcentral. Lineage: Eukaryota; Parabasalia; Trichomonadida; Trichomonadidae.
AGAGAGAAGCUGAGGCGAAGGCGUCUACCUAGAGGGUUUCUGUCGAUCAAGGGCGAGAGUAGGAGUAUCCAACAGGAUUAGAGACCCUGGUAGUUCCUACCUUAAACGAUGCCGACAGGAGUUUGUCAUUUGUUAAUGGCAGAAUCUUUGGAGAAAUCAUAGUUCUUGGGCUCUGGGGGAACUACGACCGCAAGGCUGAAACUUGAAGGAAUUGACGGAAGGGCACACCAGGGGUGGAGCCUGUGGCUUAAUUUGAAUCAACACGGGGAAACUUACCAGGACCAGAUGUUUUUUAUGACUGACAGGCUUCGGGUCUUUCAGGAUAUUGUUUUUGGUGGUGCAUGGCCGUUGGUGGUGCGUGGGUUGACCUGUCUAGCGUUGAUUCAGCUAACGAGCGAGAUUAUCGCCAAUUAUUUACUUUGCCGAAGUCCUUCGGUUAAAGUUCUAAUUGGGACUCCCUGCGAUUUUAGCAGGUGGAAGAGGGUAGCAAUAACAGGUCCGUGAUGCCCUUUAGAUGCUCUGGGCUGCACGCGUGCUACAAUGUUAGGAUCAAUAGGACUGCGAGCCUGAGAGGGUGCGCUACUCUUAUAAUCCCUAACGUAGUUGGGAUUGACGUUUGUAAUCAGCGUCAUGAACCAGGAAUCCCUUGUAAAUGUGUGUCAACAACGCACGUUGAAUACGUCCCUGCCCUUUGUACACACCGCCCGUCGCUCCUACCGAUUGGAUGACUCGGUGAAAUCACCGGAUGCUUACGAGCAGAAAGUGAUUAAAUCACGUUAUCUAGAGGAAGGAGAAGUCGUAACAAGGUAACGGUAGGUGAACCUGCCGUUGGAUCAGUU